AUGUGUUGUUACAAGAAUGAAAUGACACAAAAUGUACAAACCCAGGGCAGCCGUAGGAGGGCCGCCGUGGAACUUCUCACUUUGCCACUUCCCACACGUUGGCUCCGGCUGGCUCCGGCUGCCCUCCUGCCAGGCUGGCCCUCGAUCCCUCUGGGUCAUCCUGGCUCUCACUUCCUUCAAGUUUCAGCUCCGCAUUCAUCCAUCAACCACCGGCCGAGGCCGUCCUGGGUGCCAGGCACCAGGCCAGGGCCUGGAAACAGAGAUGAAUGGUGCCCCGACCCUGCCCUCCAGGAUCUCAUCGCUGGAGUGGAGAUCGAUUGCUGUAACUGGCUGAGGGAGAGCAGCGCGGAGCUGUUGCCGGAGUGGAGCAGGGGAACCUAGCCCGAGCGUGGGCCGCCAAGGACGCUUGCGGUUGCCCUGGCGGCGGGAGGGAAGAGGCUUCCCUCAGAGAGAAGGGAGAAGAAAGGCGCCGGCGAGGUUCUGAGGAGGACGGGAUGAAAGGCUCAUUUGUUCCUCAAAUAGUGAUCAGGCGCCUACUUUCAUUCCCGCCUGUGUCCGGCUGGGUGUGGGGCGCGGCUGUCCGCAUGGAGUCUGCACCUGGGGGCGGCCGAGAUGAAACAGCCAAGCGCGGGAGGACGGACAGCGGUCGGAGAGGCAGAGGGAGCAGGGCCUCCUUCACCUGCGCUAAAGGGUGAGGAGGCCGGGCGGCACCCCAGGGCCCUGCGGAUUCGGGGCCCUGAGCCUGGGAGGCUUUGGUGCCCUGGAGAAGCGAAGGAGGCUCAACAUGGGGACAUCGGGGAGGGGGACGCAAGGCCACCAGAGGGGUGGGCAGGACAGGGGCUCGGUCGGGCAGGCCUUUAUGGGUCCAGAUUGAGGUGUGUUUAUUUUUGUUUUGAUUACAUUUUUUUUAAAGGCAGGGUCUCACUGUGUAUCCCAAGCUGGCCUUUAACUCACCAUGUAGCCCAGGUUGGCCUGAAACUCACCAUGUAGCCCAGUCUGCCUCGAACUCACAGUGAUCCUCCUGCCUCGGCCUCCCGAGUGCUGGGAUUGCCAGUGUGCACCACCGCGCCCGGCUUGCUCCGUAUCCUGUAAAGAGAUCAGCAGAAGGAUCAUCCGGCAGCAGUGGGAAGAGGUUCUCAAAGAGCAGGUCAAACGGGCUGGAGGUGACAGGGCAGAGUCGCGGGCAGUCAGGAAGGGACAAAGUCGGAUCCAGCAGCCCUGGGCGAGGCUCUGGCUCUGGGGUCCGCUCGGACCGGUCUCCACUCUCCUUGGGCCUCGGCUCGCGCCCUCUCCGGAGGGGGUCACCCCACUCUCUGUGACCGAUCGCAGGGAGGAGCCGGGGAACCGCUGGGUCAGGGAGGCAGAAGUGCUUUGCUGAGAGCGCGGCCCAGCAGAAGCAGCCUUGCCUGCCCGCGCCCUCCUGCCACACUGGGAGGUGAGAGGCUGGGCAGAACAUAGGGCCCAAGCGAGG
RNAcentral lists this long non-coding RNA (1471 nucleotides) under Fukomys damarensis (Damara mole-rat). RNAcentral's name for it is "lncRNA (ENSFDAG00000031618.1)". The record is from RNAcentral. Lineage: Eukaryota; Metazoa; Chordata; Mammalia; Rodentia; Bathyergidae.